GAUGAACGCUGGCGGCGUGCCUAAUACAUGCAAGUCGAGCGAACGGACGAGAAGCUUGCUUCUCUGAUGUUAGCGGCGGACGGGUGAGUAACACGUGGAUAACCUACCUAUAAGACUGGGAUAACUUCGGGAAACCGGAGCUAAUACCGGAUAAUAUUUUGAACCGCAUGGUUCAAAAGUGAAAGACGGUCUUGCUGUCACUUAUAGAUGGAUCCGCGCUGCAUUAGCUAGUUGGUAAGGUAACGGCUUACCAAGGCAACGAUGCAUAGCCGACCUGAGAGGGUGAUCGGCCACACUGGAACUGAGACACGGUCCAGACUCCUACGGGAGGCAGCAGGAGGGAAUCUUCCGCAAUGGGCGUAAGCCUGACGGAGCAACGCCGCGUGAGUGAUGAAGGUCUUCGGAUCGUAAAACUCUGUUAUUAGGGAAGAACAUAUGUGUAAGUAACUGUGCACAUCUUGACGGUACCUAAUCAGAAAGCCACGGCUAACUACGUG
This 497-nucleotide ribosomal RNA is filed under the name uncultured bacterium. RNAcentral describes it as "partial 16S ribosomal RNA". It matches the Rfam family "Bacterial small subunit ribosomal RNA", at positions 28 to 507 of the family's 1533-position model. The record is from RNAcentral.